UACAGAGGUCUCAAGCGUUGUUCGGAUUCAUUGGGCGUAAAGGGUGCGUAGGUGGCGGGGUAAGUCAGGUGUGAAAUCUCGGAGCUCAACUCCGAAACUGCACUUGAUACUGCCUUGCUCGAGUACUGGAGAGGAGAUUGGAAUUUACGGUGUAGCAGUGAAAUGCGUAGAUAUCAGGAAGAACACCCGUGGCGAAGGCGGCUCUCUGGGACGGUACUGACGCUGAGACGCGAAAGCGUGGGGAGCGAACAGG
Molecule: ribosomal RNA, 253 nt
Filed under: uncultured bacterium
Lineage: Bacteria
Description: partial 16S ribosomal RNA
Rfam family: Bacterial small subunit ribosomal RNA
Source: RNAcentral